GGGAAUGUGGCUCAGUGGUAGAGCACCUGCCUAGCUUGUGUAAGGCCCUGGGUUCAAUCCCCAGCACUGCAA
This 72-nucleotide transfer RNA is filed under the name Marmota marmota marmota (Alpine marmot). It matches the Rfam family "tRNA". Rfam says of the family: Transfer RNA (tRNA) molecules are approximately 80 nucleotides in length. Their secondary structure includes four short double-helical elements and three loops (D, anti-codon, and T loops). Lineage: Eukaryota; Metazoa; Chordata; Mammalia; Rodentia; Sciuridae. The record is from Rfam by way of RNAcentral. RNAcentral also lists the same sequence under 3 other names.